AUUGAACGCUGGCGGCAUGCCUAACACAUGCAAGUCGAACGGCAGCACGGUCUGGUUUACCAGAUGGGUGGCGAGUGGCGAACGGGUGAGUAAAGCGUAGGAAUAUACCUUAAAGAGGGGGAUAACCUGGGGAAACUCAGGCUAAUACCGCGUAAACUCUGCGGAGCAAAGCUGGGGACCGAAAGGCCUGGCGCUUUAAGAAUAGCCUGCGUCCGAUUAGCUAGUUGGUGGGGUAAAGGCUCACCAAGGCGACGAUCGGUAGCUGGUCUGAGAGGACGAACAGCCACACUGGGACUGAGACACGGCCCAGACUCCUACGGGAGGCAGCAGUGGGGAAUAUUGGACAAUGGGGGGAACCCUGAUCCAGCAAUGCCGCGUGUGUGAAGAAGGCCUGAGGGUUGUAAAGCACUUUCAGUGGGGAGGAGGAUUACUAGGUUAAGAGCCAGGUAAUUGGACGUUACCCACAGAAGAAGCACCGGCUAACUCCGUGCCAGCAGCCGCGGUAAUGUAGUCGUG
RNAcentral lists this ribosomal RNA (516 nucleotides) under uncultured bacterium. Its description in RNAcentral is "bacterial SSU rRNA". It matches the Rfam family "Bacterial small subunit ribosomal RNA", at positions 29 to 534 of the family's 1533-position model. The record is from RNAcentral.